Molecule: long non-coding RNA, 572 nt
Organism: Trichomycterus rosablanca
Lineage: Eukaryota; Metazoa; Chordata; Actinopteri; Siluriformes; Trichomycteridae
Exons: 2
Source: RefSeq, a predicted model, not a curated record
CAUUUGCCCCGCCCUCACACGGAGCACUGCUGAGACAGUCGACUGGAUAACAACACAGAAAGAGAAAUUCUGUCAGUGAAAUAAGGGCAUUCUGAUGGAAACCUGUUUACCCGCCGAGGUUAAGGAUUAAAGUCGAGACUGCCGGGACAACGAUGCUGCUCCUGUCAGAUGUGAGGGGUCUGGAGUAAUUGCAACGACAAGAAAUCACUACAGACUUUAUUGAAGACUAGAGCGGAUAACAACUCUAUUAUUAUUUAAUUGUUUAUUUAUCUAUUUAUUACCAGUUAUGACUUUUAGAUCAUUUAAUUCUGUGUUUGUAUGAUUUGUGUAAAUCGUGUAUUUAUUUAAAGUAUCCUCCAGGCCACCCAAGAAGGAUGGGCCCUGCUGAGUCUGGUUCCUCUCAAGGUUUCUUCCUGUAAUUUUCAGGGAGUUUUUCCUUGCCACAGUCGCCCUCGGCUUGCUCAACAGGGGUUUUUGUAUCUGUUGGUCCUGGAUUUUGUAAAGUUGCUUUGAGACAAUGUCUAUUGUAAAAAGCGCUAUAUAAAUAAAGUUGACUUGACUUGACUUGACAA